This is a long non-coding RNA of Megalobrama amblycephala (Wuchang bream), 2102 nucleotides long. RefSeq lists it as uncharacterized. The transcript is spliced from 3 exons. The record is from RefSeq and is a predicted model, not a curated record. Lineage: Eukaryota; Metazoa; Chordata; Actinopteri; Cypriniformes; Xenocyprididae.
GCAACCAGCCAGUGGUCACAACAACAGAUAAAGACUGAAUAUGCUUAUACAUUCACAGGUGAUGGCUGCCUGGAGUGAGAAUACAGAAUUGAAUUUGACAACAAUGUAAAACCUGUGCAACUCCCUAAAAAAAAGAGCUGCAAGAUCUUAAGAGGAGAGGAAACAUUGCACCAGUGGAAAGGAGAAAGAACUGGAUCAGAAGUAUGGUGGUUGUACGUAGUAUGUGGACAGGGAGAGACAGAAGAAGCAGCUGAGAGAGACCAUGAUGAAAAGCUGAAUGUGUUUCUAGUGCAAUGCAGAGAGAAAGGUAUCAAGCUAAAUGUUGACAAGCUCAAAUUGAGACAAAGAGAAGUCUCUUACAUCAGGCACCUCCUGACGUCCGAUGGAUUGAAAAUUGACCCAGACAAAGUUCAAGCAUUAACACACAUGCCGAAACCAACAGAUGCAAAAGGAGUUCAGAGACUUUUAGGGAUAGUAAAUUACCUCUCAAAGAUCUUUCAGACCAGAAAUACUAGAAAUAAAUCAGCAUAUACACUCCUCUCAUUUAGGUGUAGAAGGAUGGCUAGAGAGGAGGGCCAGAGAGAGUGUGUACUGGCAGGGAAUGAACAUGCAGAUCAAAGCGUAUAUGUACAACAAUGUGACAGAUGCCCCUCAGUGGACUGGAACCAGCAAAAGGAGACACUGCGACCACACAAAAUGCCAAACAGACCUUGGGCCAAGGGACAAUGGCCUGCAGAUCUUGCCACAGUAGUUCCAGAAUUUCAGUCAUCACUGGGAAUUCCUGCACAAGACUUCAUCACUUGGCUAUCCUCAGAGCAAUGGCAAUGGGGAAUCAGCAGACUGAUGCUCAAAGCACAAAUAUCAAGACAGAGACAUUAUUUAGCAAUUCUAGAUCACGGAAACAUGGAUUAUCAACCAGCCCAGCACAGAGGUUGCUUAGUCAUUGCACUAAGACACUACUACAUAAAAAAAUCAGCCUCCUGCAACCAAAGAUUCAAAAUUCCUUGAGAGAAAUGACAGCAAACCAACAACGACUACAAACAGAUCAGCCAAAGACUGAGAAUAUAACCAUUUGAGCCUUAUAAGAUCUGGAGAAAGGGCACAACAGUGAAGCCCAUCAACUGAAGAUCCUUGUGUCCAGUUAGAUUCUGGAGGAGUUAUAAGGAGAAAUACAGGAAACAAUUCUCAUGAUCGAAGCCACUGCGCCGCCUCAGCAAAUGCUUGACCCAAACUAUGAGGUGCUGACUCUAAUUGUUAGAGAAAACAGCCAGGCAGGAGUGGAGCUUCCUCUAACAUGGAACGCUCACAAAAUAGUACAAUGUCUGUUUGUUUUCAAAAAUAUCAUAUUUUACAUGUGAUACAAACUUAUUUUUGGUGACAAUAUUUACUGAAACCUGCAUGGUUUGAAAGUGAUUUCUGUUUGAAUUCUUUUAUGUUUGCAUUGAGAUGAUGAGGUGUACAAGGAGGCUCUGGGUGCAUGUAGAAUUCACUUUAGCAUUAGAAUUUAUUAAAACACUUUUUCAUAUUUGCAACAUGAAUGCUAACUCUUCAGCAGCAAUUACAGAACCGAAACUUCUACCAGAAAGACUCGGGAAGCAAAGAAACGUUUGAAUACAAUUUAUUCAACAGUAUGAAUGUUAAUAUCAAUGAUAAUGAUAAAGUUCUUUGGCGUAGGCCCCGUCCAUAGUACAAUCCGGAGGGUAGCAGACGUUUGCAGAUCCUGCCUUAAGAUGAAGGCAGGGGCGGAGCCUACCCCCAAAAGAACUGAGAAUGUGAAGAAAAUACGCACCAGUUGAAGGAUUCUUUGAAUGCGUUCCUAAAUAUUACCAAAGAGAAAGAGGUGAUGAAUGCACAGACUUAAUGAAUGUUGAAUCAUUAAGAGAAAGAAUCAUAUAAUAGCUUUUCGUUCUGCUAUAGCUUUAAGGAUGUGAAGAUUGCCGCAUAGGCCGUAAUAUUGCCACAUAAGGUCGAGCAUGAAAGCCAAUUAGGCUGAUAGGCCAGCAUAUAACCUUGCCAUGUAGAUCAUAUAAGAUGUGGGGAAGAAAGAGUGGAUGAAUGAGAUGCCCUGAUGAGCUGAAUAAAGCAAGCCAUAUAGAUGUAAA